UAACACGUGGAUAACCUACCUAUAAGACUGGGAUAACUUCGGGAAACCGGAGCUAAUACCGGAUGAUAUUUUGAACCGCAUGGUUCAAAAGUGAAAGACGGUCUUGCUGUCACUUAUAGAUGGAUCCGCGCUGCAUUAGCUAGUUGGUAAGGUAACGGCUUACCAAGGCAACGAUGCAUAGCCGACCUGAGAGGGUGAUCGGCCACACUGGAACUGAGACACGGUCCAG
This 229-nucleotide ribosomal RNA is filed under the name uncultured Staphylococcus sp. RNAcentral's name for it is "partial 16S ribosomal RNA". It matches the Rfam family "Bacterial small subunit ribosomal RNA", at positions 111 to 334 of the family's 1533-position model. Lineage: Bacteria; Bacillati; Bacillota; Bacilli; Caryophanales; Staphylococcaceae. The record is from RNAcentral.